GUAACUUGACAUUCAAAUGCCGCAGUGGUCACGGAUUACGCAGAAAGGGAUAAAGCAAAGUGUAUAAACUUAAUUUGCAUAGUGGAAUUAAACAAUACGGGGAUGGUUUGACGUGGAUGCGGAACUCUGGCGUCUUACCCUCAGCUGGGGAUCAGCUGAAAAAAAGAGAGUCUGGGUUUCCUUGAAGGUUUACACGCGAGUGUACACAUUGAUUUUACAACGAGGGAUAUCGGUAAGUCACGAACACCAUAAGGCUCGAUUGGAUGAACACUAGUCUACUGAUCUGAGGCUUGAGUAUCCUAGAAUGUGGGCUCCAAGGUCGAAGAGAAUAAAAAGAAGAAGAAGAAGAAGAAGAAGGAAUUUCGCUUUAAACUUUAUUCAGCAACAAUGUUCAAGACUCUAGACCAAUAUUAUGUUUCAUAGAUUCGUUAUCGCAGCCAAACGAUCCUAAAGCCAGAGUGAAACGAGCGUUUGGAUCUGAAGUUCCUUUAAGAUUUUCUGGAAAGUCAACGGCGUGUGGUGCUUUGGCACAACGAAGGAGAAGAGGUGGGAUCAAAGCUCGAGGAAAUACUCUACCCUGCAGAUAGACCGGCAUAAGAACCAGCAGUAGAAUAGAACCAGUAGAAGCAUAAGAGAGUAACGGAGUAACAGUAACAGAGUUGCACAUACAAGAACCUCAGAAAACCACUUCUCAACGGAUUCCACGGUGCUUUGAAGAGACCAAGCUCUACCAAAGGUUCCUACCUUCCACAAGAACGAUCAUUCUAUGCUAUUUCAAACAAGUAAUUACUGACAAAUUGGGAUCGAAUAUCAGGUCAGUCAAUGCCAAAACUUCAACACAUCAAUUCUCAUGGUAAAAUUAAUUGGAAAUUGCAACUUUGUUAUAAUUUAAUACCUUACCACAUUUAUAUCCUAUAAAAAUACGAGAUGAUUUUCUAUAAUUGAAAAAUUAAUUGGACAGAAAAUUGAUGGUAAAAAAAUAUUUUUUAAAAUGGAUAUUAAAAAAAAAGUAAAUUAAAAUUAAUUUAACAAAAAAGUAAUUUACGAUCCGAAGACUUAAAUAUAUCAAAAGUUAAGUACUCUGAAGUAUCGAGGACAACGAGAUAAAGAUAUAAGUACUGAGAGUAAGAAUUAUUAACAUUAAAGUUUUGGACUUUGACAUUUUUAAAGCGUAAUAAAUAAACGCCUUCACUAGAUAAGUACACGUUAAUUUAUUGUCAGUUUGCUAAAUGUUUCAAAUUAACAAACUUAUUUUUAUUAAAUAAAAUAAAAUAAUGAAGAAUUUUAAAUUUUCAGUCGCUCGAAUCGCUUGUUCGUUAAACAGUUCAACUUUAUAUAUUUUUUGUUCUGGUUGUCGUCGGUAAAGUUUAUCGCAGUUUUAAAAGUUUAAGUUGUACGAUCUGAAAAGGAGACAAAUCUCGGAGAAUAUUUGAUGCAAAAACGAUAGCCAAUUUGAGGAAACGCAUAUGGAAAACUUUUCUUGUGAAUAUGUGAAUAUGUUUUAAAUGAAAAAUUAUAAUUAUUUUUAUUUCUCUCAAUGGUGAAAUUUAACUCUAUUUAUAUUCACAUUAGUCGAAGUUUAUUUUUUGAAAAUACUAGUAUUUUUAUCCAUAUCUGAU
Long non-coding RNA from Microplitis mediator, 1619 nucleotides. RefSeq lists it as uncharacterized. The transcript has 4 exons. Lineage: Eukaryota; Metazoa; Arthropoda; Insecta; Hymenoptera; Braconidae. The record is from RefSeq and is a predicted model, not a curated record.